UACGGAGGGGGCUAGCGUUGUUCGGAAUUACUGGGCGUAAAGGGCGCGUAGGCGGCGAUUCAAGUCAGGCGUGAAAGGCCUGGGCUCAACCCGGGAACUGCGCUUGAUACUGGAUUGCUUGAGUCCGGGAGAGGAUGGCGGAAUUCCCAGUGUAGAGGUGAAAUUCGUAGAUAUCGGAAGGAACGCCGGUGGCGAAAGCGGCGUGCUGGACCUCUUCUGACGCUGAGGCGCGGAAGCUAGGGGAGCAAACGGG
RNAcentral lists this ribosomal RNA (253 nucleotides) under uncultured bacterium. RNAcentral describes it as "partial 16S ribosomal RNA". It matches the Rfam family "Bacterial small subunit ribosomal RNA", at positions 524 to 776 of the family's 1533-position model. The record is from RNAcentral.